Molecule: long non-coding RNA, 527 nt
Filed under: Salvia miltiorrhiza (redroot sage)
Lineage: Eukaryota; Viridiplantae; Streptophyta; Magnoliopsida; Lamiales; Lamiaceae
Description: long non-coding RNA (SMIL_LNC009497)
Source: RNAcentral
UCGUGCUCGAUUCUCCGAUUGUUAGUUCAUCCUUUCCGAUCAACGUUACUAGGUAUAGUUUACGCCUUUCAUUCCGUAGUUUAGGUGUUGGUUUCGUUAAACACCAACUGGCGCCGUCUGUGGGAAAGUUACUGAGCUAGGACGUGAGAUCACGGUCGCCGGCGUACGCAGAUCUGAAAUUCCAAUCGGAUUUGCGGGCGUUGGCACCAAUCGAGCCGACAAUUCGGACACCCAGCUGUUUUUAAUCGGUUAAUUGCGUCUUCUGGUUUAAUAUACUGAUAAUCUGCUGUGAUUUGCGUGGAUUUAUGUUGGGGGUGCAUGGGGAAAGGUGGCGAUGGGCAUAAAUCAUGAAUCGGGGAAUUCUACGUUUAUUCACCGUUUGUUUGGGUUAAUUGUUUACGCACGAAGGGUUUCCUUGUAGAAUUAAUGUUUUCUUCACUGAUCUAAUGUUUUAUAUGGGAAAAUUGCGGUGUGAGGCUCUGUUUUGAUUAUGUUGGGUGCUUUUUUCUUACGGAUCUAGGGUUUUG